This 543-nucleotide ribosomal RNA is filed under the name uncultured bacterium. RNAcentral describes it as "bacterial SSU rRNA". The stretch from base 60 to 543 matches the Rfam family "Bacterial small subunit ribosomal RNA", at positions 38 to 507 of the family's 1533-position model. The record is from RNAcentral.
GUACCGGAACGUCGGAGUGUACGUUAGUACGUGUAUACGAGCGCGAGACGAGACCGCUGGGCGGGCGUGACCCUAACACAGUGCGAAGUCGAGGCGGAGUCGAUCGGACGGAAGGCCUUCGGGGCGGAAGAGUGGUUUGACUUAGCGGCGGAUGGGUGAGUAACGCGUGGGCAACCUGCCUCGAAGACCGGGAUAACAGACCGAAAGGGCUGCUAAUACCGGAUGUGGUCAAGGAUCCGCAUGGAUCUUUGAUUAAAGGGGAAACCCGUUUCGAGAUGGGCCCGCGUCCUAUCAGCUAGUUGGUGAGGUAAAAGCUCACCAAGGCGACGACGGGUAGCCGGCCUGAGAGGGUGACCGGCCACACUGGAACUGAGACACGGUCCAGACUCCUACGGGGGGCAGCAGUGGGGAAUCUUCCACAAUGGGCGAAAGCCUGAUGGAGCGACGCCGCGUGAGCGAAGAAGGCCUUCGGGUUGUAAAGCUCUGUCUGGAGGGACGAAGGAAGUGACGGUACCUCCGGAGGAAGCCACGGCUAACUACGUG